UACGUAGGGGGCAAGCGUUGUCCGGAUUUAUUGGGCGUAAAGCGCUCGCAGGUGGUUCGUCGCGUCGUGCGUGAAAGACCCCGGCUCAACUGGGGGAGGUCGUGCGAUACGGGCGGACUGGAGGCCAGUAGGGGGAUGCGGAAUUCCGGGUGUAGUGGUGGAAUGCGUAGAGAUCCGGAGGAACACCAGCGGCGAAGGCGGCAUCCUGGACUGGUCCUGACACUCAUGAGCGAAAGCGUGGGGAGCGAGUCCGG
This 254-nucleotide ribosomal RNA is filed under the name uncultured bacterium. RNAcentral's name for it is "partial 16S ribosomal RNA". It matches the Rfam family "Bacterial small subunit ribosomal RNA", at positions 524 to 777 of the family's 1533-position model. The record is from RNAcentral.